RNAcentral lists this transfer RNA (72 nucleotides) under Camelus bactrianus (Bactrian camel). It matches the Rfam family "tRNA". From Rfam's summary of the family: Transfer RNA (tRNA) molecules are approximately 80 nucleotides in length. Their secondary structure includes four short double-helical elements and three loops (D, anti-codon, and T loops). RNAcentral also lists the same sequence under 2 other names. Lineage: Eukaryota; Metazoa; Chordata; Mammalia; Artiodactyla; Camelidae. The record is from Rfam by way of RNAcentral.
AGGGGUAUAGCUCAGUGGUAGUGCACAUGCUUGUUGUGCAUGAGGUCCUGGGUUCAAUCCCCAGUGUCUCCA